This is a small nucleolar RNA of Vigna unguiculata (cowpea), 83 nucleotides long. RefSeq annotates it as small nucleolar RNA U54. Lineage: Eukaryota; Viridiplantae; Streptophyta; Magnoliopsida; Fabales; Fabaceae. The record is from RefSeq and is a predicted model, not a curated record.
GGCUCAGUGAUAUUCUGCUUUAUAUGCAGUAUACGCUAUUCUGAUUUAUCAUGUGAGCGGAUAUUUAUUUGUAGAUGAGAGCC